This 1773-nucleotide long non-coding RNA is filed under the name Strongylocentrotus purpuratus (purple sea urchin). Its description in RNAcentral is "uncharacterized LOC115924953". The record is from RNAcentral. Lineage: Eukaryota; Metazoa; Echinodermata; Echinoidea; Camarodonta; Strongylocentrotidae.
CAAAGGAAGAGGUGAUUUGUCUACCCUGGAAGUUGGAGAGAGAGUGUUGCUCAAGAACGAGGCAUUUACAGGGAGGCACAAAUUACACGACAAGUUUGACGAGAAACCCUUCAUCAUUUUAGCCAAGAACGAGGAGGGUGAUUUAUAUAACAUUCAACCUGCCCUUGGAGGGGUUACCAAGUGGGUAAAUAGACGCAGAAUUAUUGCAGAUCCUCGUCAGGAAAAUGAUGGCCUUGAUGGUAUUUUACCCUACCCAGAUGUAGCAGAGCUUGGGCGUGGUAUUAACAUUGGAAAUGACGUUAUCCAUCAAAGUAGUGAUGAUGACGACGACGACGACGAUGACGAUGAGGAGGAUGAUCAUGAGAACGGUUACACUCUUUCAUGGAAGGAGUUACCUCAUCACGUUAUUGACGCAGGUGUGACGGAGCCCAGACGGUCAAGUAGAAUUAACAAAGGAGUGAAUCCUAAUCCUGGUCGACUGCCGAUGUCGGCGAUCACCAGAUUACCCCCCUGAUGGAGUUAAGUGAUGUGCGCAUCGAAAGCGGCGAAGAGGAACCGUUUAGUUGCAUCAGUUGGGAAGGGAUAUAUAUAUAUAUAUUUUCGACAAUUUUUUAGAUAGAGUAUUUCAGCAUGAAAUAAGCGGGGAAGAUUGCCUGGAUAUUCAUGAUUUUCUUUGUUUUUGUUCUAAAAAAAAAAAGAAAAGAGGGAAAAGAAUAGGCUACAAACAGAAUUUGUUUAGGAACUUGUAUUUGAAGGAGAAUUAGGAAAUUCAAGUCUUAUAAGUGGCAUAAAUAUAUGUUAUGUAUAACAAGGCUUCAACAGUUUUUGAUAAGGCAAGCUAAAUAAUGUUGACUUAUUUUUAUGUAAAUAGUUCAGAUUGGCUUGUUAUGCAGGAAAUAAGGUUUAUAUUUUCGUCAUUGGAGCCAGAUUAGUAUGCAGUGAUCUCAUUUGAUAGUACUCAUUGGAGAUUUGUAUACUAUAGUUGGUAUACAGUAGUGAGGUGUAUAGAAAGGAUUUUUUUUUUUAAAUCAUACUGUUGUACAUUAUGAUUAAGGAUAUAUUUGAUGUUGAAGAAAAGGAAAAAAGAAAUUGUGUAUAGUCUAUAGGAUAAUGUUCUUUUUGUGUUACAGAAAAGAUAUUACAGUAUAAUGGUCUAUAGGUUCUUUUUCAAUUGAAGUUUGAUUGAAUGUUUAUCGAUGAGUAAUUUUAUGUUACAUAGGUACACAUUGGCGCUUUCGGGACGAAAGCUGUUUAAGCGGGGAAACUGUGGGAAUGUGGACUAGUUUAUGUUUUAUGUAGAUCGCGGACUUGUCCGAUUAUGCAAAUUAGUUCGCUACGCGUGUUGCACAUGAUUUUGCGGAUGAAUGAUUUAUUGUGUGGUACGCCGCCCACGUUAAUGUGUUAACAUACAUGUUAGUAUUGAAUCACAUUCAUGUCACGUUCAAUUGCGGAGAGGACGUUGUUGCUGUGCCUGUAGCUAUGUAUUACAGAGUCACGCGGUUUCCUUGUUUUAACGAGGGUUUUGGUUCAACUGUUUGGCAGUAUUUUCGAGGGCAAGAUCAGGACUUGCAUGUUGCAGCUUCUGUUGCUGAGCUGAGCUGAGUUGAUUGCUGAUAGUUUCUUGGUGUCUCCCUUUUCCCCUUCACUUCCUUCUCCACUGUAGUUGAGAGCUUCAGUGGUUUAUUGCUGAAGACUUUGGGGUUUUUUCCCGUUUCUGCGUGCAUGAAUCACCGAGAAUCAACGGUUUAUGAAUUAAAGCACCGGUUACGCUAA